CACAGCAUGAGUUAGACCUCCUCACCCGCUCAACUCAAACCUCCUGGAGAGACAGUGAAACUAUCUUGCCUGACCCUGAGCCUGCCUGGCAGGCAGAGCCUGAGCCUGCCGAGACAGGAGUGUGGGAAAGACCACCAUGGUAGGCUUGAAGAGACAAGACCAACUGGCAACAGACAAACACAAAACACAGGUGUAAAUGCACAAUGGCUGACACCUAGUGGAGACAAGCACAAGACAGGUGAAACAGAUCAGAAUGUGACAGAUUCACCAUCUUCAGAGACAGUAGUAAUGUAUUGUACUUAGACAUCACCAGUCUGCAGGCUGUGUAUUAUUGUGCUCGCUACGCACAGUGAUACAAACCAGCAGCAGACCUGUAUAAAAACUCGCCCACCCCAUAAACGAUUGGAGUUAUACCCUCUGUAUAAUUUUUUUUUUUUAAAUGUUAUUAAAAUAUUGUGGGAUUGAUCCGGUGGUUGUUUCAGAAGUAUGCCCCUGUAUCAUACUAUGAUAACAUGAUAACAGGUUUACUAAUAUUACUCUACUGUCAUGAGUAAUAAUUUGUACUGUAAUUCUCAUACUGUCCUUACAACUCCUCCUCAGGUUUGUGUUGUAAUGGAAAUGUAUUCUCCAUCAAUUUACCUGGUAAAAUAGAUAUAUAGACACACAAACAGCAGGAAUUCUUCUUCAUAACAGAGUAUCUCAAGAUGACCUCAUUCAAGUGAUCUGUAGGUAUUUAUCAAAGCCUCUUGUGAUAUGUCCUCCCAGUGAGGAGCUCAUGUAAAGCUCUCCAGCCCAUCUUUAUUUAGGUCUGCUGAGGACUGUCUCAACUACCUUUAGAGAACUACACAGAUCAACAUGUUUCCUACCACAGGAAUACUCUUACUGACAGUAUAUCUAACAGGUGCUCACUGUGAAUAACUCACUCAGCCAGCCUCUAUGACUGUCCAGCCAGUCAACCACUG
This 962-nucleotide long non-coding RNA is filed under the name Salmo salar (Atlantic salmon). RNAcentral's name for it is "lncRNA (ENSSSAG00000082594.1)". Lineage: Eukaryota; Metazoa; Chordata; Actinopteri; Salmoniformes; Salmonidae. The record is from RNAcentral.